UACGUAGGACGCAAGCGUUAUCCGGAGUUACUGGGCGUAAAGCGCGGGCAGGCGGUCUUGCCAGUCUGAUGUGAAAUCUCCUCGCUCAACGGGGAGCAGCCAUUGGAAACUACAAGACUGGAGUCUGACAGAGGUAGGCGGAAUUCCGGGUGGAGUGGUGAAAUGCGUAGAGAUCCGGAGGAACACCAGAGGCGAAGGCGGCCUACUGGGUCAGUACUGACGCUGAGCCGCGAAAGCCAGGGGAGCGAACGGG
This 253-nucleotide ribosomal RNA is filed under the name uncultured bacterium. Its description in RNAcentral is "partial 16S ribosomal RNA". It matches the Rfam family "Bacterial small subunit ribosomal RNA", at positions 524 to 776 of the family's 1533-position model. The record is from RNAcentral.